CCCUUAGAUGUUCUGGGCCGCACGCGUGCUACACUGAGUGGAUCAGCGGGUCAGGUUGCGCGAAAGUGUUUCCUAAUCUUUAAAUCCGCUCGUGAUGGGGAUUGACGGUUGCAAUUUUCCGUCAUGAACGAGGAAUACCUUGUAAGCGCGGGUCAUCAUCCCGCGCUGAAUACGUCCCUGCCCUUUGUACACACCGCCCGUCGCUCCUACCGAUUGAGUGAUCCGGUGAGUCCUUUAGAGUGUGUUGCAUUUAGUUUCUAUCCGUGACGUGUGAAGUUGAACAAACCUUAUCACUUAGAGGAAGGAGAAGUCGUAACA
RNAcentral lists this ribosomal RNA (318 nucleotides) under uncultured eukaryote. Its description in RNAcentral is "partial 18S ribosomal RNA". It matches the Rfam family "Eukaryotic small subunit ribosomal RNA", at positions 1470 to 1796 of the family's 1831-position model. The record is from RNAcentral.